Molecule: ribosomal RNA, 424 nt
Filed under: uncultured bacterium
Lineage: Bacteria
Description: bacterial SSU rRNA
Rfam family: Bacterial small subunit ribosomal RNA
Source: RNAcentral
UGGGGAAUAUUGGUCAAUGGACGAGAGUCUGAACCAGCCAAGUAGCGUGAAGGAUGACUGCCCUAUGGGUUGUAAACUUCUUUUAUAUGGGAAUAAAGUAUUCCACGUGUGGGAUUUUGUAUGUACCAUAUGAAUAAGGAUCGGCUAACUCCGUGCCAGCAGCCGCGGUAAUACGGAGGAUCCGAGCGUUAUCCGGAUUUAUUGGGUUUAAAGGGAGCGUAGGUGGAUUGUUAAGUCAGUUGUGAAAGUUUGCGGCUCAACCGUAAAAUUGCAGUUGAAACUGGCAGUCUUGAGUACAGUAGAGGUGGGCGGAAUUCGUGGUGUAGCGGUGAAAUGCUUAGAUAUCACGAAGAACUCCGAUUGCGAAGGCAGCUCACUAGACUGCAACUGACACUGAUGCUCGAAAGUGUGGGUAUCAAACAGG